Molecule: long non-coding RNA, 248 nt
Filed under: Physcomitrium patens
Lineage: Eukaryota; Viridiplantae; Streptophyta; Bryopsida; Funariales; Funariaceae
Description: long non-coding RNA (PPAT_LNC005904)
Source: RNAcentral
UUUUUUGAACAAGUUCUAAUAUUGGAUAAUCUAGAGACAUUUUCAGCAGAAUUUUGAUCUAUGUAUGGAAAACAUGAUACAAUUCAUAUUGUAACCAAUAAAAUCCAUAUUUUGUGAUAAGACAAUUGAUUUGUAACAUCAUAUGCUUUAUAAUUUUGACAACUUGUAACUAAUAUCAAGUAGAAUGAUGUUACACUUAUUGACAAUUUUUUCUAUGAAUUAUAAUGUAAAGUAAAGAAAUUGAUACU